GUGACUGUGGUAGCAUCUAUAUUGAUG
RNAcentral lists this non-coding RNA (27 nucleotides) under Mus musculus (house mouse). Lineage: Eukaryota; Metazoa; Chordata; Mammalia; Rodentia; Muridae. The record is from RNAcentral.